This is a long non-coding RNA of Gouania willdenowi (blunt-snouted clingfish), 1770 nucleotides long. The record is from Ensembl. Lineage: Eukaryota; Metazoa; Chordata; Actinopteri; Blenniiformes; Gobiesocidae.
GUACACACUACUACACAACUACUACACAACUACUACACAACUACUGCAUUACACUACUACACAACUACUGCAUUACACUACUACACAACUACUGCAUUACACUACUACACAACUACUGCAUUACACUACUACACAACUACUGCAUUACACUACUACACAACUACUACAUUACACUACUACACAACUACUACACAACUACUGCAUUACACUACUACACAACUACUGCAUUACACUACUACACAACUACUACAUUACACUACUACACAACUACUACACUACUACACAACUACUACAUUACACUACUACACUACUAGACAACUACUACACAACUACUACAUUACACUACUACACACUACUACACUACUACACAACUACUACAUUACACUACUACACUACUACACAACUACUACACAACUACUACAUUACACUACUACACAACUACUACACAACUACUACAUUACACUACUACACAACUACUACACAACUACUACACUACUACACAACUACUACAUUACACUACUACACAACUACUACAUUACACUACUACACAACUACUACAUUACACUACUACACAACUACUACAUUACACUACUACACAACUACUACACAACUACUACAUUACACUACUACACAACUACUACAUUACACUACUACACAACUACUACACAACUACUACAUUACACUACUACACAACUACUACAUUACACUACUACACAACUACUACAUUACACUACUACACAACUACUACACUACACUACUACACAACUACUACUUUACACUACUACACAACUACUACACAACUACAACACUACACAACUACAACACUACACUACACUACUACACAACUACAACACUACACUACUACACAACUACAACACUACUACACAACUACAACACUACACUACUACAACACUACACAACUACAACACUACACAACUACACUACUACACAACUACAACACUACUACACAACUACAACACUACACUACUACAACACUACACUACUACAACACUACACUACUACACAACUACAACACUACACAACUACAACACUACACUACUACAACACUACACAACUACACAACUACACUACUACACAACUACACUACUACACAACUACAACACUACACUACUACAACACUACACUACUACACAACUACAACUACACUACUACAACACUACACAACUACACUACUACACAACUACAACACUACACUACACUACUACACAACUACACUACUACAACACUACACUACUACAACACUACACUACUACACAACUACAACACUACUACACAACUACAACACUACACAACUACAACACUACACUACUACAACACUACACAACUACACAACUACAACACACUACAACACUACACAACUACACUACUACACAACUACUACACUACACAACUACAACACACUACUACAACACUACACAACUACACAACUACACUACUACACAACUACACUACUACACAACUACAACACUACAACACUACACUACUACACUACUACAACACUACACAACUACACUACUACACAACUACAACACUACUACACAACUACAACACUACACAACUACUACAUUACACUACUACACAACUACUACAUUACACUACUACACAACUAAUAACUACAACUACUACACAACUACAACACUACACAACUACUACACUACACAACUACUACACUACACAACUACUACACAACUAAAACACUACACAACUACAACACUACACUACUACACAACUAAAACACUACACAACUAA